This is a long non-coding RNA of Lathyrus oleraceus (garden pea), 1175 nucleotides long. RefSeq lists it as uncharacterized. The record is from RefSeq and is a predicted model, not a curated record. NCBI's taxonomy places the organism in Eukaryota, Viridiplantae, Streptophyta, Magnoliopsida, Fabales, Fabaceae. The transcript is spliced from 2 exons.
UCACCAAAUCCGAAUCCUCUCUUUCUCCACUGAUAAUAUUCUCUCUCUCGAAACUCAAAAAGAGAAAACAAAAAGACCCUCUCUCAUAAUAGCUCUCUCUCUCAAAAAUUGAAAGAAAAAUCAUCUCUCCACUGAGGAUCUCUCUUCACUUAAUCUCUCAACAACUCUCUAGUUGGCAGAGAGAAAACUAAAAAAAAAAAAAAAAAAAAAAGAGAAGAAGUUUGGAUCUUUUUUCUUCCAUCGUCUCCACCAUUUCCGAUAACUUCACCGGCCUCACCUUCAUCCUUCCUCCAUCAAAUCCGUCGCGCUGACACCACCAAACACCGGCGAAUCCUCACUCCUCUGCCUUCUCUGACCUACCCAAAACGACAAACCACCGCCAUGCCUCCAUCCUAGGCACAAACUCACACUCCGUUCGACAACAAGGUCGCGCCAACUGCCUCUUCUUCAACGCGCAACCUCCGCUUUCAACGUAUAAAUUCCGCUACACCACCACCGUGAACCUCACUCCUCUACCGCGACUACAAUCACGCAUCUGCCAUCACCGUAAACUCAACGACAUCUUCCUCCGUUCUUCUUUCCCCCACUCACAACAACCGCUCGCUGCCUUAUCUUCCGCCAUCUCUGUCGCGAGCUCCGUAUCAAUAAAUCCUCCGCCUCCUACAUUACCAUAUCCACUGAAGUCAAGCAUCCUUCUCACCUAUUUCCCUCAAUCCAAACACGACUUUGUUCAAAUCGAAUUGCUAAAUCUACUCAAUCACGGCGAGAAUAAACCGUCAAGCCUCCAGCUCCUCCCGUUCCGACACAUAAACUCCUCCACUACAUCGUCGCGGUAAUACCGUCACAGCAGCAAGUUCAUCGCCUACAACGGUUUAACAUCGCGGAGAAUUAUUAUUCUUAGCUUGGAUUAUUAAAUAAGAAUGCAAGCAAACUGUUUUGGAGAAGGAGAGAAACGGUUAUCUUUUUUCUUAUUCCCAAAAUUUUCCUCUUAAUUACUUACUCAAUGUAUUGUAGAAAAAUCAAAACAGUUUUUUUAUAUAUUUUUAGCCAUAUGUUGUUAAUAUUAAAGUAAAUUAAGAAUGAAAUUGACUUUUCUCAUAACACUUUGAGCCCAUGGCUUAUUUUUCCACCUCCCAUUUGUAAAUAAAUUUGUGUUAUAGAAUUAUAUUAUAUUU